AUGGGUCUGGGGGUGCCCCAAAAUCCAAAUUUGGGGGGAGACCCCCCCGAAAAUUUGGGGUUUGGGUGUCUGAGAGGAGCAGAGCCAGAAUUGGGGGGAGUCCCCAAAAUUGGGGGGUUUGGGUUAAAAAAUGGGGGGGAAGGAAAGGGGGGCUGGGGGGGCCAGCACGGGGGGAGGGGGGCCCAAAUUCUGGGGGGUUCCCAAAUUCUGGGGCGGUCCCAAAAUCCCGGGGGUCUCUCCCCCCCAGUCCCUGUUCCCCUCCCGGGGGCUCUCCCCCCCCCAAUCCCGGGGGUCUCUCCCCUCACUUUUGGGGUCCCCCCGGGGGUCUCUCUCCCCAAUCCCGGUUCCCCUCACGGGGGUCUCUCUCCCCAGUCCCGGGGGUCUCUCCCCCCCAAUCCCGGGGGUCUCUCCCCCUCAGUUUUAGGGUCCCCCCGGGGGUCUCUCCCCUCAGUUUUGGGGUCCCCCCGGGGGUCUCUCCCCUCAGUUUUGGGGUCCCCCCGGGGGUCUCUCCCCUCAGUUUUGGGGUCCCCCCGGGGGUCUCUCCCCCCCCAAUCCCGGGGGUCUCUCUCCUCAGUUUUGGGGUCCCCCCGGGGGUCUCUCCCCCCCAUUCCCGGUUCCCCUCACGGGGGUCUCUCCCCCCUCAAUCCCGGGGGUCUCUCCCCCUCAGUUUUGGGCUCCCCCCGGGGGUCUCUCCCCUCAGUUUUGGGGUCCCCCGGGGGUCUCUCCCCUCAGUUUUGGGGUCCCCCCGGGGGUCUCUCCCCCCCAUUCCCGGUUUCCCUCACGGGGGUCUCUCCCCCCUCAAUCCCGGGGGUCUCUCCCCUCAGUUUUGGGGUCCCCCCGGGGGUCUCUCCCCUCAGUUUUGGGGUCCCCCCGGGGGUCUCUCCCCUCAGUUUUGGGGUCCCUCGGGGGUCUCUCCCCUCAGUUUUGGGGUCCCCCCGGGGGUCUCUCCCCUCAGUUUUGGGGUCCCCCCGGGUCUCUCUCACCCUCCUCGCCCCCCCUCCAUUCCUCCUGCUUGGCCCCCGCCGGCCGCGCUCCCUUCGGCAUGGCCGGGCACCGCGCACUGCGCAUGCGCCGCCACCGCCGCGCCGCGCCGCUUCCGCCUCGCGCCGC
RNAcentral lists this long non-coding RNA (1110 nucleotides) under Taeniopygia guttata (zebra finch). RNAcentral describes it as "lncRNA (ENSTGUG00000021036.1)". Lineage: Eukaryota; Metazoa; Chordata; Aves; Passeriformes; Estrildidae. The record is from RNAcentral.